AGCAGUCGCCGCGGGAAUACGAAGGGUGCAAGCGUUACUCGGAAUUACUGGGCGUAAAGCGUGCGUAGGUGGUGGUUUAAGUCCGUUGUGAAAGCCCUGGGCUCAACCUGGGAAUUGCAGUGGAUACUGGGUCACUAGAGUGUGGUAGAGGAUAGUGGAAUUUCCGGUGUAGCGGUGAAAUGCGUAGAGAUCGGGAGGAACAUCAGUGGCGAAGGCGGCCAUCUGGGACAACACUGACGCUGAGGCACGAAAGCGUGGGGAGCAAACAGGAUUAGAUACCCCGGUAGUCCCUGUCUCUUAUAA
Molecule: ribosomal RNA, 303 nt
Filed under: uncultured bacterium
Lineage: Bacteria
Description: partial 16S ribosomal RNA
Rfam family: Bacterial small subunit ribosomal RNA
Source: RNAcentral